UCCGAUCUGGGAGAAUGACUUGGCAUCAGGAGCCGAAGAAGGACGUGACAAGCUGCGAAAAGCUGCGGUUAGGAGCAAAUAUCCAUAGACCCGCAGAUAUCCGAAUGGGGAAACCCGGUACGGCAAUACCGUAUCACUGCAUGGUAAAUACAUAGCCAUGUGGAGGAAACCCUCUGAACUGAAACAUCUAAGUAGGAGGAGGAAGAGAAAGAAACAUCGAUUUCCUAAGUAGCGGCGAGCGAAAGGGAAAGAGGCCAAACCAGAGAUAGCAAUAUCUUUGGGGUUGCGGACUGCAUAAUUGAUUUAACAUCUUUAGCAGAAGUGUAUGGGAAGACACACCAUAGUAGGUAAUAGUCCUGUAAGCGAAAGGGAUGUUAACAUGGCAGUAUCCAGAGUACCACCGGACACGAGGAACCCGGUGGGAAGCCGGGGGGACCACCCCCCAAGCCUAAAUACUACCUGAUGACCGAUAGUGAAAAGUACAGUGAUGGAAAGUUGAAAAGAACCCCGGAAGGGGAGUGAAAAAGAAUCUGAAACCCUAUGUUUACAAGCUGCUAAAGCACCAUAUGAGUGCGAUAGCGUACUUUUUGUAGAACGGUCCGGCGAGUGUAUGUUGCAAGCGAGGUUAAGGUGUUAAGCACUGAAGCCGAAGGGAGACCGAGUGUGAAUAGCGCGUACAGUUUGCAGUAUACGACCCGAAACCGGGUGACCUAACCAUGGACAGGUUGAAGUGGAAGUAAAAUUCCAUGGAGGACCGAACCCACGUCUGUUGAAAAAGGCGGGGAUGAGCUGUGGUUAGCGGUGAAAUUCCAAUCGAACUCGGAUAUAGCUGGUUCUCAUCGAAAUAGCUUUAGGGCUAGCCUCAGGAUAGUUUAGCGGAGGUAAAGCACUGAAUGGGCUAGGGGGCUUCACGGCUUACCGAACCCUAUCAAACUCUGAAUGCCGCAUAAAUGUUUCCUGGGAGUCAGACUGCGUGAGAUAAGUUUCGUAGUCAAAAGGGAAAGAGCCCAGACCUACAGCUAAGGUCCCUAAAUGAAUUUAAGUGGAAAAGGAUGUGCAGUUGCGUAGACAACUAGGACGUUGGCUUAGAAGCAGCCACUCAUUUAAAGAGUGCGUAAUAGCUCACUAGUCGAGUGAUUGUGCGCCGAAAAUGUAACGGGGCUAAAAUUCAUACCGAAGCUUAGGAAUGAUAGUAAUAUUGUUGGUAGAUGAGCGUUGUGUAAGCCUGAGAAGCUACACCGAAAGGAGUAGUGGAGGUAUCACAAGUGAGAAUGCCGGAAUGAGUAGCGAGAAUUAUGUGAGAAUCAUAAUGGUCGAAAAUCUAAGGUUUCUUGAGGAAGGUUCGUCCGCUCAAGGUAAGCCGGGAGCUAAGGCGAGGCCGAGAGGCGUAGUCGAUGCACAUACGGUAAAGAUUCCGUAGCCACCGAAGUCGUUAAAUACAGGGACACAGGAACAUAGCCUAACCCCACCGUUGGUUGAGUGGGGCGUAAGGGAGCGAAAAUUAGUAGCGAAGUGGGUGAUUGUACACUGGCGAGAAAAGCUGUAUGUAUUGACAAGGUGCCCGUACCGCAAACCGACACAGGUAGAUGAGGAGAGAAUCCUAAGACCAGCGGGAGAAGUGUUGUUAAGGAACUCGGCAAAAUGACCCCGUAACUUCGGGAUAAGGGGAGCCUACGCGAGUAGGCCGCAGAGAAUAGUCUCAAGCGACUGUUUAGCAAAAACACAGGUCUAUGCUAAAUCGAAAGAUGAUGUAUAUGGGCUGACGCCUGCCCGGUGCUGGAAGGUUAAGGGGAAGUGUUAGAGCAAUCGAAGCACUGAACUUAAGCCCCAGUAAACGGCGGCCGUAACGAUAACGGUCCUAAGGUAGCGAAAUUCCUUGUCAGGUAAGUUCUGACCCGCACGAAUGGCGUAACGACUUGGGCGCUGUCUCAACAGCCCACCCGGCGAAAUUGUUGUACUGGUGAAGAAGCCAGUUACCCGCAACUAGACGGAAAGACCCCAUGGAGCUUUACUGCAGCUUAAUACUGGAAAUCGGUAAAUCAUGUACAGGAUAGGUGGGAGACUUGGAAGCCUGGGCGUCAGCUUAGGUGGAGUCAACCUUGGGAUACCACCCUUGAUUUGCUGGUUUUCUAACCUGCGGCCGUGAAUCCGGUCGGGGGACACUGUUAGGUGGGCAGUUUGACUGGGGCGGUCGCCUC
RNAcentral lists this ribosomal RNA (2198 nucleotides) under human gut metagenome. RNAcentral describes it as "bacterial LSU rRNA". It matches the Rfam family "Bacterial large subunit ribosomal RNA", at positions 1 to 2289 of the family's 2925-position model. The record is from RNAcentral.